Molecule: long non-coding RNA, 365 nt
Organism: Dendrobium catenatum
Lineage: Eukaryota; Viridiplantae; Streptophyta; Magnoliopsida; Asparagales; Orchidaceae
Exons: 4
Source: RefSeq, a predicted model, not a curated record
UUUCCGGAAAUCCCCAAUCCCUAAUCCGGAAGCAAGGCAACCUUUAAUAAAGCUACUAGUAAAGACCUCUCUCUCUUUCUAUUCCCCUUCCGGCACUUGCCCCGAGCAUCUAGCCUUGAGCUUGUCGUGAUCUCGCCUCGAGCAAUCUAGGUCUUGGUUUAUGAGCUCGAAGGAGAAACCGACUCUCGGUGGUACGCGGAUUAAGCCCCGCAAAAGGAAUAUCACAGCUCCUUUGGACCCUGCAGCUUUUGCGGAUGCGGUGGUCCAGAUUUAUCUGGAUAAUGCUGGUGAUCUGGAACUCAUUGCCAAAAGCAUCGAAUCAUCAGAUCUUAAUUUCUCCAGAUACGGUGACACCUUUUUUGAGG